This 396-nucleotide ribosomal RNA is filed under the name uncultured bacterium. RNAcentral describes it as "partial 16S ribosomal RNA". It matches the Rfam family "Bacterial small subunit ribosomal RNA", at positions 523 to 918 of the family's 1533-position model. The record is from RNAcentral.
AUACGUAGGGAGCGAGCGUUGUCCGGAAUUACUGGGUGUAAAGGGUGCGUAGGCGGGACUGCAAGUCAGAUGUGAAAUGCCGGGGCUCAACCCCGGAGCUGCAUUUGAAACUGUGGUUCUUGAGUGAGGUAGAGGUAAGCGGAAUUCCUAGUGUAGCGGUGAAAUGCGUAGAUAUUAGGAGGAACAUCGGUGGCGAAGGCGGCUUACUGGGCCUUUACUGACGCUGAGGCACGAAAGUGUGGGGAGCAAACAGGAUUAGAUACCCUGGUAGUCCACGCUGUAAACGAUGAUGACUAGGUGUGGGGGGACUGAACCCUUCCGUGCCGCAGUUAACACAAUAAGUCAUCCACCUGGGGAGUACGGCCGCAAGGUUGAAACUCAAAUGAAUUGACGGGG